UCGAGCGUCAUUUCAACCCUCAAGCUCAGCUUGGUCUUGGGCCCUGCCGGCGACGGCUGGCCUUAAAAGCAGUGGCGGUGCCGUCGAGCUCUACGCGUAGUAAUUACACCCUCGCGAUUGAGUCUUGGUGGACACUGGCCAGCAACCCCCAAUUUUCUAUGGUUGACCUCGGAUCAGGUAGGGAUACCCGCUGAACUUAA
This 200-nucleotide unclassified non-coding RNA is filed under the name soil metagenome. RNAcentral's name for it is "partial contains internal transcribed spacer 2 and large subunit ribosomal RNA". The record is from RNAcentral.